UACGUAGGUGGCGAGCGUUAUCCGGAAUUAUUGGGCGUAAAGGGAGCGCAGGCGGCGCAUUAAGUCUAUGGUGAAAGUUCGAAGCUUAACUUCGAAUUGCCAUAGAAACUGGUGUGCUAGAGUGCAGGAGAGGUGAGUGGAAUUCCAUGUGUAGCGGUAAAAUGCGUAGAUAUAUGGAGGAACACCAGUGGCGAAGGCGGCUCACUGGCCUGUAACUGACGCUGAGGCUCGAAAGCGUGGGGAGCAAAUA
This 250-nucleotide ribosomal RNA is filed under the name uncultured bacterium. Its description in RNAcentral is "partial 16S ribosomal RNA". It matches the Rfam family "Bacterial small subunit ribosomal RNA", at positions 524 to 774 of the family's 1533-position model. The record is from RNAcentral.